Non-coding RNA from Bacillus cereus Rock4-18, 232 nucleotides. The record is from Rfam. Lineage: Bacteria; Bacillati; Bacillota; Bacilli; Caryophanales; Bacillaceae.
AUAAAUGCCUUGAAGGGGAAGAGUAUAACAUGAAACGUCUUCAGAGAGGAGAAUCAUUAGCUGGGAGAUUCUCUAGAUAGUUAUGUUAGAAGGUAGCCCUGGAGCAUCUUUUCUGAACGGAAUAGUUCUCAUUAGGAAAAGACGGAUUUGUCCGUUAUCAAAUUAAGAGUAUAAGCAAAUUCUGAAUUUGUUUGUAAAUAAAGGUGGUACCGCGAUGUCCCUCGUCCUUUUU